AUGAUGUGGUUUGGCUUCAGGCCUUUCAGAGGAGGUAACGUUGCUAAUGUUCAUGUUUCCAAGUUCAUGGUUCCUAUAUUCUUAAGAUUCCUGUUUCAUGUUCCUGUUUAUGCAUAUGUACCUUUGGAGAUUUAUCUGGGAAAGAUUCCUGUUUCAUGUUCCUGUUUAUGCUUUUGGAGAAUUUACCUUGGAGAGGUUCCUGUUUUUAUGUUCAUUAAUAUACCUUUGGAUUAACACUGUGAUUAUGGAUUCCUUGGUUUUGAUGUGUAACCUGGCAUUUUUGGAUUACUGCUACUGAACUCUGGCUUCUUUUGUAUAUUGCAAUUUAUAUGCUGACUGAUUCUUUUGGAUUUACCCUUUUCCCCUUUUUGCUGGUGCAUAGCAACAUGUUUUUUAAAAUCACGGUUACCUUUAUAUUGUGUAAGGUCGAUUAUUGUGAUUUAAACAAAGGGCCAAUUAUUGACUUAUUUAAACUGCAUUCCUGGGCAGCAAGAUAACCUGGGGGAGCAACAGUGAAUGGGUAAUGGCAGAGGGCCAGGUAUCAUCCAUUGACCACCUCCUCGCCUUCCUUUGGAUGAACACCUGACCCUGGGGGGAGUCAACUUGAUGGCCUGCUGGCCCACAUGGUCACUACUGGAGGGUCAUUCCAGGGGUACUUCCUCCCAAGCCCCAGAACUCUAUAGGAGAAAGUGGGAACCGCCUAGUCCAGUCCCAAGGGGAAAAUCUUAAACUGUCCUCCAAGCCCCGGAAUUUGGAGGGGCCAUCCCAGAUAUUCCCUUUCACCCCAAAUUGGGGGUGCCAAGAUGAACACCAACAUGUUAUUUCUCCAGUUCCUGACAAUUGAAACCUAUAAAUAACACCAUCUAAACAAAAUCCUUGCUUCCAAAGUCCAUUUGGUCAUAAUUGGAAUCCAGCUCCAUCUGCUGUUGUAAACCUAAAAGUGGACGUUUUAGUAGACACCUUCUUGACCUGGCUCUUUCUUUUCUUUUCAUCUAAACCAUAUUUAGGAAGUAUGUUCUAAAAUAUAAUCAAAAAAGAGAGAAAAUAAAUGAAACACUGUUCACAAGAUGGCUGCUCAAAGAGCAGUGCCUGGAAAGACAUAAAAUGGCCAUCCAAGAACAAGCCUUAAAGUAUACAGAAUGACUUCCUGAUAACAAGUUCUAAAAGGGGGCCCAAUAUGACCACCUAAUGACAAGUGUUGAGGACAUAAAUUGGGUACCAAAUGAUAAGUGUUAAAAGAUGUCACUUAAAGAUACAUGCCAAGUAACAAGUGCUAAGGGGAAUGCAACACAGACACUCAAAGACAAGUACUAGGUAUUAAUUAUGGGCCAAAUAUGGCUGCCUAAAGACAAGUGCCAAGGAAAAUGCAAUAUGACCACUCAAUAACAAGUAAUGAAGCUAUCACAAAAUGAUCACCUAAAGACAAGUGUAAGAAGUACAGAGUAUGGUCUCUCUAGGACAACUCCAUUAAUUACAUAGGAUUUCUUAAUCAAGAAAUACUCAGAAGUGGUCUCCUUAGUUUGAAAUAUAAUCUCCCAUCCAAGUACUAACCAUGGAUAACAUUGUUUAGACUCCAAAAUCACACAAGACUUGUUGCCUUCAUGUAAUUUAGGAUCAAAGCCGAAUGUGUCCCCAAAUUUCAGUUUCUUUGAAAGCAAAUUAGUAAGACUAAUAUAAUUUUAUUAAGGACAGAUUAAAUGACAGGGUUCUCCCCAUUACUACAGAGAUGAGCUUCAAUUUUAGUGAGUAAAUCCUCCAUACACAGCAUUAGUUCCCUUCUAAUGUUUUGCUAUAGACUGAUCUUACGUGUGGAUAUUACACCUGGGAUGUAAGUCUUCAUAAAUGUUGGCCUUUGUAAUGCCUCAUGGGCCUUGUAGUCCUGCUCCCAGUGCCACCGUGGCUGAUGAAGAUGAAAACAUGGGGUUUUCGCCGGCUCAGCAAGAGCCGGAAUCUUUCCAGAUGCCUGAUGUUGAUGUUUUUGCCCAAGAACCCAUUAAAACAGACCCUGAGCAGCUCUCACCCCCUUUUGCUAGG
RNAcentral lists this long non-coding RNA (2034 nucleotides) under Anolis carolinensis (green anole). RNAcentral describes it as "lncRNA (ENSACAG00000045414.1)". The record is from RNAcentral. Lineage: Eukaryota; Metazoa; Chordata; Lepidosauria; Squamata; Anolidae.